UCCAACUAAUAAAGCCAACGAGUAGACUUGUAAUUGCUAAAAGCCUGCACUAAAUGACAAAGAAGCGUGCGAGUUCACAGCGAGAUGGGAGACUGCAGUAACGGAACAAGAAAGUAAAAACUGACUUUUCCUUGUGCAAACGAGUUUGUGUUAAGCUUUUAAAUUUUCAAAGGAGUAUUUCAUGUGGGGAACAACUGCAUUUGAACAGCUGACUCAUGCAGACAGCAAAUACAGAGACGGACAAAUGUGUGCAAGUGUAAACAAAGCAAAAGCAAGAACAACUUCAAAUGGCAGCAGGCAGACAUUGUCAACGCCGCAUUAGUGCGUGACAGCGGCAACUGACAGCACGGAAUGAAUUCAACGAACGAGUUCCCCCUCCCCCGCAUAUUUCGCAGUCAAUAGUUGUUAGCAUUAGUAAAAUGUGUUUGUCCUUUGGAAGCAAACAAAAUGGUGUGGGAUAACAUUGAAAAUGGGGUUGUUGAAAUUGAAAUUGAAAAUUUUCUCUUCUCAAUAUGCGCAAGCAAAUAAGCACAGGAAAAUAAAUAUGCGGACUUAUCUAUAUACGUGUGUGUAUAUGUGUACUCGUCAGAAUUGAUAAACUGCAGAGAAAAUGCUGCCUAAUUUCCCAAGACGGACAACGACAGCAGUCACUGCUUAGUCAAUGAUAUAUACUAAAUUUCCAGCAACAAUGCGUAAUCGAAGAAAAUUGUAAAUGUAAAAUACAACAACAACGUUCACAAUAAGGCAAUGCACUCGCAGACGUGACUGUAACUUAUUGGUGUUGCCAUUGCCAAUAUGUUGUAUGGAAGAAAUCGGCUGUGGACGUGAGACUUAUGAGCGACAAUACGCUUGGAGGCGAUACUGUGGUUUCAACAAGUUUCGAGUACAAUAAUUUGAAUUUGAAAACUGCGAUAAUGAAUUUGGUGGAAGAAAAAGAUUUUCUUAGAUAGUCAGUGAUCACAAAGAAUAUACGAAGUGUGUUCAAUAAAUAACGAUAAUUUUCGUGUUUUGAAAAAUA
Molecule: long non-coding RNA, 1018 nt
Organism: Zeugodacus cucurbitae (melon fly)
Lineage: Eukaryota; Metazoa; Arthropoda; Insecta; Diptera; Tephritidae
Exons: 2
Source: RefSeq, a predicted model, not a curated record